UAGGUGAAGUAAGUAGCUGCUGUUUAAUAAAUAAAAAGAUUUAUAACAGAGGAAAGUCCGGGCUCCAAGGAAAGAUAGUGACGGGUAACACCCGCCGAGGGUAACUUUAGUUAUAGGGCUACAGAAAAUUACCGCCUAAAAGUUUUUAGGUAAGGGUGAAAAGGUGUGGUAAAAGCAUACCGUGGCAAUGGUAACAUUGGCAGUCGAGUAACCAACACUAGGAGCAAGAUUGAAUAAGAAUAGAUUUUAUGUUUUCCUCAUAGUUCUCUAUUCGGGUAAAUCGCAAGCAGUAAAUAUGUAAUGUUUACUCUAGAUAAAUAGCUACAUAAACAGAACCCGGCUUAUACUUCACCUCACAG
This 359-nucleotide RNase P RNA is filed under the name Wolbachia endosymbiont of Menacanthus eurysternus. RNAcentral describes it as "RNase P RNA component class A". It matches the Rfam family "Bacterial RNase P class A". From Rfam's summary of the family: Ribonuclease P (RNase P) is a ubiquitous endoribonuclease, found in archaea, bacteria and eukarya as well as chloroplasts and mitochondria. Its best characterised activity is the generation of mature 5'-ends of tRNAs by cleaving the 5'-leader elements of precursor-tRNAs. The record is from RNAcentral. Lineage: Bacteria; Pseudomonadati; Pseudomonadota; Alphaproteobacteria; Rickettsiales; Anaplasmataceae.